AAGGAUCAUUACCGAAUUGUCAACACGAGUUGUUGCUGGUCCUCAAAUGGGGACAUGUGCACNCUCUGUUUACACAUCCACUCACACCUGUGCACCCUCCAUAGUUCUGCAGCCUGGGGGCUCCGUCCCCCUGCCGUGGUUCUGUGUAUUUACACAUACACUGUAGUAAAGUCUCAUGGAAUGCAUACCGCGUUUAACGCAAUAUAAUACAACUUUCAGCAACGGAUCUCUUGGCUCUCGCAUCGAUGAAGAACGCAGCGAAAUGCGAUAAGUAAUGUGAAUUGCAGAAUUCAGUGAAUCAUCGAAUCUUUGAACGCACCUUGCGCCCUUUGGCUAUUCCGAAGGGCAUGCCUGUUUGAGUAUCAUGAACACCUCAACUCUCAUGGCUUUGCCAUGAUGAGCUUGGACUUUGGGGGUCUUGCUGGCCUGUGGUCGGCUCCUCUCAAAUGAAUUAGCUUGCCAGUGUUUGGUGGCAUCACGGGUGUGAUAACUAUCUACGCUUGUGGUUUUCCACCAGGUAACCUUCAGUGAUGAAGGUUUGCUGGGGCUCAUAAAAGUCUCUCCUCGGCGAGGACAGCUCUUUGAACGUUUGAUCUCAAAUCAGGUAGGACUACCCGCUGAACUUAA
RNAcentral lists this ribosomal RNA (627 nucleotides) under Tomentella sp. 1 RGO-2016. Its description in RNAcentral is "eukaryotic LSU rRNA". The stretch from base 211 to 365 matches the Rfam family "5.8S ribosomal RNA". The record is from RNAcentral. Lineage: Eukaryota; Fungi; Basidiomycota; Agaricomycetes; Thelephorales; Thelephoraceae.